UGCAGUCGAGCGGUAGCACAGAGAGCUUGCUCUCGGGUGACGAGCGGCGGACGGGUGAGUAAUGUCUGGGAAACUGCCUGAUGGAGGGGGAUAACUACUGGAAACGGUAGCUAAUACCGCAUAACGUCGCAAGACCAAAGUGGGGGACCUUCGGGCCUCAUGCCAUCAGAUGUGCCCAGAUGGGAUUAGCUGGUAGGUGGGGUAACGGCUCACCUAGGCGACGAUCCCUAGCUGGUCUGAGAGGAUGACCAGCCACACUGGAACUGAGACACGGUCCAGACUCCUACGGGAGGCAGCAGUGGGGAAUAUUGCACAAUGGGCGCAAGCCUGAUGCAGCCAUGCCGCGUGUGUGAAGAAGGCCUUCGGGUUGUAAAGCACUUUCAGCGGGGAGGAAGGCGGUGAGGUUAAUAACCUCAUCGAUUGACGUUACCCGCAGAAGAAGCACCGGCUAACUCCGUGCCAGCAGCCGCGGUAAUACGGAGGGUGCAAGCGUUAAUCGGAAUUACUGGGCGUAAAGCGCACGCAGGCGGUCUGUCAAGUCGGAUGUGAAAUCCCCGGGCUCAACCUGGGAACUGCAUUCGAAACUGGCAGGCUAGAGUCUUGUAGAGGGGGGUAGAA
RNAcentral lists this ribosomal RNA (618 nucleotides) under Klebsiella pneumoniae. Its description in RNAcentral is "bacterial SSU rRNA". It matches the Rfam family "Bacterial small subunit ribosomal RNA", at positions 56 to 666 of the family's 1533-position model. Lineage: Bacteria; Pseudomonadati; Pseudomonadota; Gammaproteobacteria; Enterobacterales; Enterobacteriaceae. The record is from RNAcentral.